Dipodomys ordii (Ord's kangaroo rat) is the source of this 243-nucleotide long non-coding RNA. RefSeq lists it as uncharacterized. NCBI's taxonomy places the organism in Eukaryota, Metazoa, Chordata, Mammalia, Rodentia, Heteromyidae. The transcript is spliced from 3 exons. The record is from RefSeq and is a predicted model, not a curated record.
AAAUGUUUCUUUAGAAAUGGUUCACCAAACCAUCAGCCAGAGCCGCCCCCUCCAGUCACAGAUAACCUUUUGCCAACAACCACACCUCAGGAAGCUCAACAGUGGUUGCAUCGAAACCGGUUUUCUACAUUUACAAGGCUUUUUACCAACUUUUCAGGGGCAGAUUUAUUGAAACUAACUAGAGAUGAUGUGAUCCAAAUCUGUGGCCCUGCAGAUGGAAUCAGACUUUUUAAUGCUUUAAAA